Molecule: ribosomal RNA, 406 nt
Filed under: uncultured bacterium
Lineage: Bacteria
Description: partial 16S ribosomal RNA
Rfam family: Bacterial small subunit ribosomal RNA
Source: RNAcentral
AUUGAACGCUGGCGGCAGGCCUAACACAUGCAAGUCGAACGAGUGGCGAACGGGUGAGUAAUGUCUGGGAAACUGCCUGAUGGAGGGGGUUAACUACUGGAAACGGUAGCUAAUACCGCAUACCAUCAGAUGUGCCCAGAUGGGAUUAGCUUGUUGGUGGGGUACGGGGUCACCAAGGCGACGAUCCCUUGCUGGUCUGAGAGGAUGACCAGGCACAAUGGAACUGAGAAACGGGCCAGACGCCUACGGGAGGCAGCAGUGGGGAAUAUUGCACAAUGGGCGCAAGCCUGAUGCAGCCAUGCCGCGUGUAUGAAGAGGGCCUGCGGGUUGUAAAGUACUUUCAGCGGGGAGGCGUUACCCGCAGAAGAAGCACCGGCUAACUCCGUGCCAGCAGCCGCGGUAAUAC